AUUGCUUCUCGGCCUUUUGGCUAAGAUCAAGUAUAGUUUCUAUGCUUCUGUUUCAAAGGCAGUUAAGCAUAACCUUAUACAAUUUUAAACAUUUAAGAAAACUUUU
This 106-nucleotide small nuclear RNA is filed under the name Suricata suricatta (meerkat). RNAcentral's name for it is "U2 spliceosomal RNA (ENSSSUG00005019094.1)". It matches the Rfam family "U2 spliceosomal RNA". From Rfam's summary of the family: U2 is a small nuclear RNA (snRNA) component of the spliceosome (involved in pre-mRNA splicing). Lineage: Eukaryota; Metazoa; Chordata; Mammalia; Carnivora; Herpestidae. The record is from Rfam by way of RNAcentral.